RNAcentral lists this ribosomal RNA (405 nucleotides) under uncultured bacterium. RNAcentral describes it as "partial 16S ribosomal RNA". It matches the Rfam family "Bacterial small subunit ribosomal RNA", at positions 29 to 526 of the family's 1533-position model. The record is from RNAcentral.
AUUGAACGCUGGCGGCAGGCUUAACACAUGCAAGUCGAACGAGUGGCGGACGGGUGAGUACUGAAUGGGAAACUGGAUUAGGGAGGGGGAUAACUACGGGAAACUGUAGCUAAUACCGAGUACCAUAGGAGGGGCCCAAGUGGGAUUAGGUAGUUGGUGAGGUAAAGGCUCACCAAGGCGACGAGCUCUAGCUGGUCUGAGAGGAGGACCAGCCACACGGGGACUGAGACACGGCCCAGCCUCCUACGGGAGGCAGCAGUGGGGAAUAUGGUGCAAUGGGGGCAACCUGACGCAGCCAUGCCGCGUGAAUGAAGAAGGCCUUCGGGUUGUAAAGUUCUUUCGGUAGCGAGGCGUUAACUACAGAAGAAGCACCGGCUAACUCCGUGCCAGCAGCCGCGGUAAUUC